GGAGGCGAAUGUGGCCUGGUGGCCGCCCCGGGCUUCAAACCCGCGCGAGGGGCGAUUUGAGUCGUCCUUGGUGUGUUCGAUUCGCACACGCCUCC
This 95-nucleotide transfer RNA is filed under the name Jonquetella anthropi DSM 22815. RNAcentral describes it as "Selenocysteine transfer RNA". It matches the Rfam family "Selenocysteine transfer RNA". The record is from Rfam by way of RNAcentral. Lineage: Bacteria; Thermotogati; Synergistota; Synergistia; Synergistales; Dethiosulfovibrionaceae.